Molecule: ribosomal RNA, 1053 nt
Filed under: Triticum aestivum (bread wheat)
Lineage: Eukaryota; Viridiplantae; Streptophyta; Magnoliopsida; Poales; Poaceae
Description: partial small subunit ribosomal RNA
Source: RNAcentral
AUGGCGCGCGAUGCUGCGCCCACCUAUUUGGAAUCUCUACUUCUAAUGUCUGAGUUGCACCACGUCUGGUUUUAUUUCGUCCAUUCCAUCAAACCUAAGGGGAAAAAUCAGUCCCUCGAUCUAUUUCCAAAGUCAAUCGUCAGGACGCCCCAGCCGCCAGAGCCCUUCGCCACCGCCGAGAUCCGAGAGGAGCCGCCGCCUCCAGGUCAUCACCGAGGUCCGCAAUCGCCGACGUUGAGGUCCGAGAGGAGCCGCCGCCGCACCGUCUUCCUCCUCCGCCAAUCUCCGAGGCGCCCUACUCGUGCGCCGCCGUCGCCGCCUCACAGAACCCUAGGGCAGGGCAGGGCGUGGUCGCGUUGCGGGCAGCGAGGAGCGGCGCCGGCGCUUGCGUCGCCAGCCGCGGCGACCACGGACGUGGAGCUGCUGAAGCAGUUUUGGCGCAACGAGAAGGCCGCGCUGGAGAUCUGCCACUUCGACUCCGCCCUCGUCUCCCUUGCCCUAUGGCCAUUGGUUGUGUCAUCGUUCUUCACAAUACUGAAUGUUUCUGAUUCUUCACGGCCUGUGCUGAAACCAGGAGGAGACAUUGAAAAGUACAUGGCGCACAUCUCCAAUUCUUACGACCUCCUGAGCUGGUUGAUGCAGCAGGAGCAGCGAUUCACCAAGAGGUAUCUCUCAAAUCGAUCGGACUGUCUAUUGGUUGUUUGUGCUUGUUUUUUGGCUGAAAUGACCUCCCUCGUUGGGUUUGUUCUGUUGGAAGCUGCAAGGAGAUCAUGGAGAAGCAUCUCAGAGCAGUCGGUGCUGUCGAAGCUUCCCUACGGUUAUGACUCGGUAACGAGGCAAUCCUCAUCGAGCACGGAGGAUGACAUGGGUAUUCCACUUGAUCUUGAAAUUAACAUCACUUCUUUGUCACAGUUGUUGCCUCCAUUGCGCGCUCGGCCUAGCUCCUGCGCCCCCUCUCGGGCUCGACCUCCCGCUGUACCUCUCCUCGACCAACUGGCCCGCCUCCCCACAUGCAUCACCAUGCUCCCCAAUGGUGUCCGCGCCUCCGAGUAG